This 177-nucleotide ribosomal RNA is filed under the name Actinomycetota bacterium. RNAcentral describes it as "partial 16S ribosomal RNA". It matches the Rfam family "Bacterial small subunit ribosomal RNA", at positions 1 to 176 of the family's 1533-position model. The record is from RNAcentral. Lineage: Bacteria; Bacillati; Actinomycetota.
UUCACGGAGAGUUUGAUCCUGGCUCAGGACGAACGCUGGCGGCGUGCAUCACACAUGCAAGUGGAGCGACGAACCGGGCUUCGGCCCGGGGCAAAGCCGCGAACGGGUGAGUAACACGUGGGUAACCUGCCCCGAUGAUUGGGACAACCCGAGGAAACUCGGGCUAAUACCAAAUGU